This 31-nucleotide ribosomal RNA is filed under the name Garrya elliptica. Its description in RNAcentral is "partial 18S ribosomal RNA". The record is from RNAcentral. RNAcentral also lists the same sequence under 21 other names. Lineage: Eukaryota; Viridiplantae; Streptophyta; Magnoliopsida; Garryales; Garryaceae.
UCCGUAGGUGAACCUGCGGAAGGAUCAUUGU